RNAcentral lists this ribosomal RNA (435 nucleotides) under uncultured bacterium. RNAcentral describes it as "partial 16S ribosomal RNA". It matches the Rfam family "Bacterial small subunit ribosomal RNA", at positions 29 to 507 of the family's 1533-position model. The record is from RNAcentral.
AGCGAACGCUGGCGGCAGGCUUAACACAUGCAAGUCGAGCGGGCAUCUUCGGAUGUCAGCGGCAGACGGGUGAGUAACACGUGGGAACGUACCCUUCGGUUCGGAACAACUCUGGGAAACUGGAGCUAAUACCGGAUACGCCCUUAUGGGGAAAGGUUUACUGCCGAAGGAUCGGCCCGCGUCUGAUUAGCUAGUUGGUGGGGUAACGGCCUACCAAGGCGACGAUCAGUAGCUGGUCUGAGAGGAUGAUCAGCCACACUGGGACUGAGACACGGCCCAGACUCCUACGGGAAGCAGCAGUGGGGAAUAUUGGACAAUGGGCGCAAGCCUGAUCCAGCCAUGCCGCGUGAGUGAUGAAGGCCUUAGGGUUGUAAAGCUCUUUUGUCCGGGACAAUAAUGACGGUACCGGAAGAAUAAGCCCCGGCUAACUUCGUG